RNAcentral lists this long non-coding RNA (18327 nucleotides) under Daucus carota (carrot). Its description in RNAcentral is "long non-coding RNA (DCAR_LNC005710)". The record is from RNAcentral. Lineage: Eukaryota; Viridiplantae; Streptophyta; Magnoliopsida; Apiales; Apiaceae.
UUAAAAAUAAAAAAUUAUAUUCCUACGAGUUAUUGAAGCUGACUUUGAUUAUAAUAUACAGUAGAGGUUAAAAUGGAACAGUGUAAGUCAACUCCAUUAUAUUGCAGAACUCUUCUAGCUUGCUAUAUCUGUUGCUAGUAAUGCAUAACUUGACCCCAACCAAGAAAAAACCAAUUUUUCAGUUUAAAAAAAACAUUUUUGUCUCUGUCAAACUUAGUCACUUGGAUUUGGAUACCUAAAUUAAUAUAAAACUUAUACUAUUAUUAGUAAUGAAAGCUUGAGUCUCUGAUUAUAAUAAUCAGUUAGCACUUGGGUCUGAUUGGUAGAUUUUAAUAAAAACGAAUUGCUUCGUACUCAGAUGUCGGUUCUUGACCUGUUCAAUCUGAUAUAGGAAUAUGAUAUUAGUGAUUAAAUCUUGACUUUGAUCAAAAGAGUUCAGAAUCUAAGCACCUUAUCACUAGCAGUGACCUGGUCUCUCAGCAGGCAUUUAUAUGAAGCGAAAUGUUCAAUUCUAAGUUCCAAGGUCAAAGGUUGCUAUGCAAACUGAAUAGACUUAUGACAUGGUAUUGAUCUGUUUUGAAUAAGGAUAUAUGAGCCUUUUUGGGUAAAUACUAAUGAUAUGGUAUUGAUAUGUUUUCGGCUAAUGUCAAAAGGUCUCAUACUAAUGAAAUUAUUUGACUACUUGUUCGUAAAAUGAUUGUUUCUUGUCUGGUAGGAUUUGGGUGUUGUGAUUCUGCAUACAAGAAAGUGAGGAAGUGAAAGAUAAAAUGAUUGAAUCAGUUUCUUCAAAUACAAUAUGCGCAUAGAAAGAAAGGUUUGGUUUUGAUGAAUAGUGAUUAAAAUUCUUAAAAACAGAUGUCUGUUGAUUGUCACCCAUUGUAAAUUCUAAGUGCAUGAGUGUUGACAAAAGAUUAAGUUCAAUCUUCUUCUUUUUUUUAAAAGAAAAAUAAUUUAAUAAUGAAAAGUCAUACGGCAUCUACAGAUAUAAUUGAAAUUGAACAAACACAUAAUCAUAUCGCUGUUAAAUCCUUCCUUCUUCGGUAGGCAACUAAGCGAUUUUUGAAGAGAUAUGUACGUGCUCUAAUACUUUCAAUAUUGUUUUGAGCAAUCGAUCAUAAAUGCAUCACCAUACAAACCUUUAUUACUGAAUCAAAACCAUGAAAAUCUCGCGGAUCUGUAAUCCCGAACAUGAUGAACAAUACAAAACCCACACAAAAACCAAACUCUCACGAGGAGAGACCAAACAAAACCCAAAUAAAUUGGGAACUUACUGGAAAAAAACAAGAGAUUAAUUAAUACUCCCUCCUUCCCAUUUUAAUAGUCUUGUUUGUUAAGAAAAAAUUCUCAUAUUAUUUGUCCUUCUUCUUUGUCCAAUACAAAUUUUAUACAAGUUUCAAUGUUAACAUUUAUUAGCUCACACGAUUUUCAUGAUUUACUAUGCAAACUUACUCAUACAAUCAGGGACGUAUCCAGGAUCAGCAACUUAUGGGGGCAAUGUAUAUACUCCGUGUGUCCCUCUCAUUUUUUUACAUUUUUUAAGACGCCUUCCAUAACUUUUUUCUAGAAAUUUUUCUUUUUUAUAUAAAAAUUAGAUAACAAAUAUAUAUUCAAAAGAAAAAAAUACAAAAUAAUUUAUCAAAUUAUAUCUUAUGAGAGCAUUAGAAUCUGUUUUUGGAUUGUGUUUCUGCUGAAUACACUGCUGCUUGGCCAUUCAGUUCUUUAAAAAAAUAAAAUGAAGCUUUGAAGAGUUGAACACUGGCAAAUACAUUAAUAUACCAACACAAGAACCAUGGGGGCAAUCCUUACUUGCUGAAAAGUUAGUAGUACUAACUUAUAAAAUCUACGCAGGGCACUGGGGGCAAGUACCCCCACUGCCCCCGGUGUAGAUACGUCCCUGCAUACAAUCAUAUGCUUCAUGUAUUCAGUAAUCUUUCUGAUUCUAUUUUAAGAGUUUACUAGCUUAUCUGUUACACAUGGUACUGGAAAUGUACUUAGCUACAUGUACUUGUGAAAAACGUUAGUUUAUUGCGUAUAUUUAUGGACAUGUAAUGUAUCUCACCUUGUAUACAGGUCCAAAGCCACCCUCUCCAAGUUUGUUGUCUGGCCAGAAGUUACUUGUGGCAUUUGCAAUGCUUUGGAAGUCGAAUAAUGGCAACUCCAGAUCUUCUUUCUCAGUUCUGGUCAAGGCAACACUUUCCAAAUUCAGUUUGAAGCUUUCUGCAAUGAUUGAAGGGCAACAAAUGCACAUUGAUGUAGUGCUGAAAUAAUUUCUACGAAAUUUCUGAUUAUUCCCCGAGGAUCCCUUUAUUAUGGUACUAUCGUAUUUACUCGGUGGGAAUUCAAAAUCUUCCUUUCCAAUUAUUAGUACUCCACUGUUUUUGACUUUUUUACAUGUAUUUUAAGGUGUUAGAAAAAUCACAUUUAAACAUAAUUAUUCUUUAUAAAAUUUAUAUCAAUUAAAAGUUUAGAAUCUAAAUUUUUAUCUGAUAUAAGAGUUGAUUUUUUUUAUUGAGUGUAGAUAUUAUUUUUUUACACCUCAAUAUACGUGUAAAAAAGUUGAACAUCAGCUAAAAUGGGACGAGAAUAGUAAAUAAUUACCUCUUUCUGCAGCUUUUUCUUCUUGUUUACUGGAAGAAAUAUUCCGCCAAGCAGUACUACUGCUAGUAUGGCUAAAAUGAGAAUGAACUCUAGCAUCCACUUUGCUCUGCGACUCUUUACUGCAUUAGUCAAAAUAUUUAACUUCCAAAGAAUACACCAUCAAAAAGCAAAUAGCUGAGGUACUAAUUUUAUAGAGCAAGAGUUGUUGUACAAAGAGUGAAGACACGAAGUAUUCACGAAGGUAGUCUUACCUAAUUCAGACGAAGGCAUUCUUACAUAUAUAUCUUGUCCAUCUUCAGAAUAGUCUCUAAUAUCAAUUAGCUUAGUAAACCAUAAGACACAUACAUGUCCACCUCUUCUAACAUCUGCAUUUGCAAAAGCUGUACAAGAACAGUUUUUGAGGCACAAUUUCUCACAUUCUUGAAGGUUCAUAUUCGUGUUAUACCAGGAGUGACGUGUGUCAGGUAACUUCACACCCGAAUAUUGCACAAAACCCUCAUCAGUCCCGCAGACAAAGAUUAUUCUGCCAUUUGUUAUAAUGUUAUUUUUUCUCGAUUUGAACUUACAUCUAAUAUCGCUCCAAUCGUUAGAAAACUUUCCGCCAUUAAAUAUUUUUAAUAUCGACAGUUUGAAACUUACUUUCAAUAAUUUCGAAACCGAAAAAGUUACUUUUAAAACUUCAUUCCAAUAUACUCAAAACGAACCGAAACUUCCUUCCAAUAAUUUCGAAACCGAAAAAAGUAAUUUUAAAAUUUUCUUCCAAUAUAUCCAAACUAAUAAGAUAAUUUUUAUUUUGGAUAUUUAUAAUUUAAAAUUUUCAUAAAAUUAGAAAAAAUAUAACAGAGAAUAUUUUUUUCCCUCAAUUUUUCCACCAUAAAAUUUGUUUUAAUGUUAUUUUUUCUCGAUUUCAAACGUACAUGUAAUAGAUCUCUUCUACUAUUUGGAAAUUUUUCACCAUAAAAUAUUUUUUAAUAUUGACCGUUUGAAAUUCUUUUCUAAUAAUUUCGAAACCGGAAAAAAUAGUGUUGGAACUUUCUUCCAAUACAUUCGAAAUUAAUUGAAACUUCUUUCUAAUAAUUUCGAAACCGAAAAAUAAUGUUGAAACUUUCUUCGAAUAUAUUCAAAACUAAUUAUAACUUCUUUCCAAUAAUUUCGAAACCUAAAGAGGUAGUUUUUAAAACUUUCUUUCAAUAUUCGAAACUAAAAAGAUAAUUUUUAUUUUUGAUAUUUUUAAUGCAAAAAUUUGAGAAAAUUUUGAAACUUCUUCCGAAUAUUGUCAAAACUAAUUGAAACUUCCUUUAAUUAAUUUCGAAACCAAAAAAGUUAUUUUAAAACUUUCUUCCGAUAUAUGAAAUGUCACAUCCCGGUCCCAAAAAAAAAAAUGCUUAUAUAAUACUUUUGAAUGUAUUAAAAUAGUUUCCGGGAUUUUUAGAUUUAACAAAAAUAUUUUGUUUUAGGAUUUAUAAGGAAUUUGCGAAUAGUAAGGUGACCCUAUAAAGGAGAAAGGACAUGAAGGGGUAAAAAUAAAAGUCUCAGAAUAAUUUUUAGAUAUUUUAUAAAUUACCAGAGCGGAGAAAUAGUGAACAGAAGUACGGUCAGAAUUGUAUGAUUUUGCACCGAACUGUGAUUAUAAAAUCCAGUUAUUAGAAAAUAGGUGAAAAUAGAAAAGACACAAAAUGAGCCAAGAAUUUUCCUAGAGUAUCUAAAUAAAUUGUGGAACUCAUUUAUGAAUUUUCGGAAAUUUUACGAAGCUCAAGGAAGUUAAAAUGAAAAGGAAUAAAGGAGCCGGAUACCCAAGAUUUCCGGACUGCAAAAUGACCUUUAAACUAAACCAGCGGAAUUUCAGAAGGAAUACUGAAGAGAAGGUUAGUACGUUUAUGAUCUUUGGAGUCUCUAGAACAUUCCUAUAUUGAGUUUGAAGAAAAAUCUCGAGAUUAAGAGUGGACAGGGAUCAGUGGAAUAAUAUCAGACCGAUACAUCCCUAAGAAAAAGUGAAAUAUUUUCGGACUCCAAAUGAGCUCAUUUUAUAGUCAAAAAUUCCCAAAUAAUAUACUAGGAAUUAUUAUAUCAUCAGAAUUCGUCAACGAGAUCAAGAAUGGGGAGAUUUAAAUUAAGAUUUUAACAGAAGUAAUUAGCUUAAAUGGAUAAUCAUCCAGAAUUCUCCCGAAUGCAUGUUGGCCAAGUCAGGAGGUGACACAUGGCAAUUACUUAAAGAUAACUAACAUUUAACUUUCUAAAACACCGCCCCAUCAUCAGCUUUCAUUUCAUUUGGUCGAAGCAAGCAGUGAAGAUAAAGAAAAAGAAAAAGAAUUCAAGAAAAAUUCAUAGAAAAAGAUUUCUAGCUCAGAUUUUCGUGUUCUAUAGCUUGUUGGAAAGAUCUCUUCAAGACCUUUAAUUCAAGAGGUAUGCUUCUUAUUUUUGUAAUCAUUAGCGUGUUCAAAAAGAUGGUUGAUUCUAGCUAUGAAUAGUGAUGUUCUUGGUGGAAGAAUUUCUUUAAAUCCUAAAAUAAGUACUAGGAGAUUAUGGUGUUAUAAUAAGCAUGUUUACAUGUUUGGAUUAUUGUUUAAGCUUGUAAAGUGGUUGUUCUUGAUUGGGUUUGGAAGGAGGAUCUGGUAUAAGUAUUAUAUGGUGAUUUGGAGGUUGUAUAAUUGUUUGGGCUGAUGAUUAACAUAAGUUUAAUUAGGGAAACGUUAAGAUUAUAGCCGUUAUCAUGGCCAAGUUGAAAUAACAGCCGCUGUUACUGUUCAUCCGAACAGUUUAGUUUCUACUUUAAGAGGUUUAUUUAUAUGGAUGGCUAGAGUUUGAUUAGUAGAUCGCGUGAGCGCUUGAAGCAUGCAAAACGGAUUUACGGUUUAGAAGUUAUGGCCAUUUUAGUACAGGACGCGCAGAAUCCUAGUUUCCGUAAGAAAAUGAACUUUGAGGUUACAAUUCGGCUAGUUCAAAGAUGAUAUAAAUCAUGGAAUAAUUUGAGUAAAUACUAGGGACAAAUUGGGAGGUAUAUGAGUUGGUUUCGUAAGAAAAACUCGAAUGAUUUAUAAGUGAGAAGUGUCAGAACCUAAAGGUGUAAAUAGUAACAAUAAUACGUGAGACGAGAAACAGUUAGUACCAAAUCUCUUUAAAAUGAAAGGAUUGAUAAUAAGACUGAUUAGAAGGGACUUUAAGGGUAGGUAACACGUACACACACUAUGAUAUAGAGUUAUAAAGGAUUUUAAUGAUUAAUUAUGUCCCUUAUAGGUGCACAGAAAGGUGCAGAAGAACUUUAAGGACCAGGAAGUUGUAACUGAGUUGCUGAAGUAAGGUGAGUAUACAUCAACACUACUUAUAUCUAUGUGAUAUGCGAAUUACGUGCUUUUAUAUGCUGAAAGUGAUAUAUUAGAAUAUUGAUUCGACUAUGUGAUUCUAUACAUGACUGGAGUUCUUUGAUGUCAAUGUAGUGUGAUGAUAUAUCAAAGUACAUGUAUAUAUGGAAUGUGUAUUGACCUGUGAUUUCACGAACGAUACAUUAACAUAGAGUCUGCAUAUAGAAUAGGUCAUAUGCACACCCUACAUUCAUUUGAUAGUGAUAAAUUAAAAAGUCAAAGUGACAGUCACUUGUGUAAUGGCCACCUUUAUAUAUGGAAAUGGAACCUACGGGUAAUUACGGAGCAGACUAUAUGUCAGCCAUAGACGGGGCCGACUUGUGUCGGACAUAGACGGAGCCGAUUUCCAUAGUCGGACAUAGACGGAGCUGGCCAGACACACAUGGAUCCUUUGAGGGUACAUGUGGAAACACGGGCAUUAUACAGUGAACUGUUCACAAUAGAAAAAGAAAAAGAAACAGAGAUGCAUGCAUGCAUAGAUACAAGCUCAUACAUUCGUUGCAUACAUGAUUAACAAAAGUAAGUGAUUUAUGAUUAACUAAAGUUGAUGUAUAUUCAUUGAGUUGCGACUCAUGGAAAUCGCUCAAUUUUCCAGGAGAUGAAUAAUUAGUAGUGUGUUUUGUAUGAGUGCUCAGUGGAGAUUGUAGAUAGUGCCUAAGAGACGGUGGUCCAGCAGGAUGCUCCAGACUCCUCCAUCAGCCGAUGCACAUAUAUGUAGUUUGAGAGAUUGUGUUUGUGUACUCUAGACUUACUAAGUGUGCAAGAAAUCACGAAGAUAAAUUUAUGUUUAAAUUCUGAAUAUGUGUGGUGAAUAAGGAUGAUGGAAAUGUAUUGAAAUGAUAUGUUGCUUGGUAAAUGUUGUUGAAGUAGUUGAGAUUUUCUGUUCUGGUGAAGAUCAAGAUAUAGCCAAGCAAUAGCUGAUGGUUAUAUUAUCCACUUAUACAGGAUAAGAUAUUUCAUAAUAUUAUUAAAUUACAUGAUUUUGCUAGAAGUGCAUGAAAAUGAUUAUAUGGUACAAGGGUGUUACAUGAAAACUAAAAAGAUCAUUUUUAUUUUUGAUAUUUUUUAAUGUAAAAAAAAAAUCGGAAAAUUAGAAAAAUAUUAUGGAGUUCUAGAGCAACCACCUCAACGCCCCUCGUUUCUCAUUUGUAUAAGUAUAUUGAUUGUAUAUAUAUUAAAUUCUAACUGUUAACACGCUCAAUUUUUUAUUAAUUAAAGUAGGUGUACACUGCAACUUUCAAUUGAAGAUAGUUCAUUGUUAUAUUUUCAAAAUGCUCACACAUAUUAUAUUAGUCGAUGAAAUAAAUAUAACUAUAACAAAAUUUUUCUUGAAAGUUAAAAAAAUUUAAUAUAUGUAAUUUUUUUGAGGAUAGAUAUAUAAUUGAAACAGAAUCAAUAUAAUUAACUCAUCUAAAUUGCUCUCUGGUACUACUCUCUCACUUUUCCAAUAACUGAAACCCUGCAAAUAUUGAUAUUUAAAUGCUUCAUAAAUAUUUUAAUCCUAAUAUAGUAAUAUAUUUGAAAUCCUGGUAACCACCUCUAUCUUUUUAUUGUAGAUACAUCAUUCCUUGAAUAAGAUUCAUCUUGCCAAGAGAUACUUAUGCCAUCAAUUUUUACAUUUUCUCAAUGACAGCAUUACUUCCCUGCAUUUCCCUCGACGAAUAAAACACAGCACCAGCUCAAUGACAUCUCAUGAAUCUUGCUUUUCCCUAGACCAAGAGGUUUUGGAUAAAUAACAGUGUUAUCACUAUGGUCGAGGUAAGAGAGUAGUCAUUGUUAAUUCGUUGGAUGUUGACAGAUUUUGGUUGCUCAAAAAUUGGUCUGCUUCAAACAAAUCUCUCUCCAUGAAAAAACCAGGUUGCUUAGGAUGCGGCAGCUUCAUAUUACUGCUCAACAUCAGAACUACCUCUGACAUGACUGGCCUGUCCUUUGGAUCUUGUUGAACGCAAAGUAAUCCAAUUUGUAUAACUCGCAAGGCUUCAUAAUGGUUAUUGGGCUCCAAGAUCACUCCAUCAAUGAGUUCCAACAGUUUGCCUUGUUUGUAACUUAUCCAUGCCUAAAAUUUAAUUAUGCAACUUAUCAGUGGUAAGAAGCAUAUAGCAUGAGGAACGUCAUAGACACUUAGGCCCUGCUCUUGAGUUUUUUUAGGAGAGAAAGCAAGUGAAUGUAAGUGAAAGUUUGCAUCCCACUUUUGGAGUGAAAGUUUUGGAGUGAAAUUAUAUUAUAAUUGCAUCCAUUUUCACUUGUUUUCGUCCCUUUAAAAAACUCGGGAGCACAAACAUGAGUGAAAGUUAUAUAACUUUACUUCCUCCUCACUUGCUUUCCUCCCUCUUUAUAACUCGGGAGCAGGGCCUUAGUAUAUUUAUACUCACAUGCCCAAGUAGGUUAAAGCUGUGAUCAGGAUGAUUGAAUAAUCUGUUUUUCAUUCCACUUGCUAUCUCUACUAGCAAAACGCCAAAGCUGUAGACAUCGGAUUUAACAGAAAAUUGUCCAUCAAUAGCAUACUCCGGGGACAUGUAACCACUGCGAGAUGAGAAAAUGGAUAUUAAUUAUAAGUUGUCAAUUGUCAUGCAAAGAAAAAAUUUAAGUGCAAAGUCAUAGGAAUUCUUACUAUGUACCGACAACUCUUAACGUUUUUGCUUCACUUUCAUUUCCUCCGAAACUUCUUGCCAUGCCAAAGUCUGAAAUCUUUGGAUUCAUAUCAUGAUCAAGUAAUAUGUUACUGGCUUUGAGAUCUCUGUGUAUGAUCCUCAGCUUUGAAUCUUGAUGAAGAUAAAGAAGUCCCCUAGCAAUGCCAAUUAUUAUGUUGUAUAGCCUCGGCCAGUCCAUUGUGUUUCUGACGUUACUAUCUAUUCAUGUCAUCAAAUUAGACCAGUUCUCUAUAUAUGGGGACAUACAUGACAAAUCUCAGACAAUUAACAUAAUAUAUAUCCAGGUUGGGUCAUACCAAAAAUGAAUGAAUCUAGACUUUUGUUAGCCAGAUAUUCGUAGAUCAAAAUCCUUUCUCCUUUCUCCGUGCAGCAACCAAGAAGCGUCACUAGAUUUCUGUGUUGAAGUUUGGCAAUACAUGAAACUUCAUUUUUAAACUCAUCUAGUCCUUGACUUGAGUUUCUUGAAAGCCUUUUCACUGCUAUUUCUUGUCCAUCAGUCAAUAUACCCUGAAAAUAGGUUGUAAUGUGUUAUAUAUUUGAAUUGACUCGGUAUAGAUUUAAGAACCCAAUUAUUUGUAUUUCCCUUCCACAGAGCACUUAACAUCUAUAUCUCAUUACCAUUUUAAUUCUAAUAUAGACAAGACGAAUAAUUCUAUGUGUUACACAUGGUAAAAUACACGUUUAUUAGGUAAAUGUAUAUAUGAAUUCGUUUUGUUAUAUGUGGUACAGACACUUCUAUUGUUGCAGAUAAACUUUUCCUACAGUAUAGUGAGACAAUGUUAGCUUGGUGCAAAAAUUGUCUACAUAUAAUCACCUUGUAUACAGGUCCAAAGCCACCCUCUCCGAGUAUCAUAUCUCGUGAGAAGUCACUUGUGGCAUUUGCAAUGCUUUGGAAGUCAAAUAAUGGCAACUCCAGAUCUUCAUUCUCAAUUUUGGUCAAGGCAACACUUUCCAAAUUCAAUUUCAAUUUUUCUGCAGUGAUUCAAUAUGGAACAGAGGGGGAUUAUGAGGUCAUGAUUAAUUUUGCUGAUAAUAAUUGUGAAGGAUCAGCCAUCUAUGAUUUAUAUAAUAUUAUUCACACAGAGAUAUAAUUUAUGUAGAUACUACUUAGUAUAUCUUCCUUCCUUGAGUAACAGUUACUGUAACAGACUAACAGAGACUAGUUUACCUUCUUUCUGCAGCUUUCUCUUCUUGCAUGCUACAAGGAAUAUUCGGCCAAGUAGCACUACUACUAGUACUGAAGCAAUGAGAAUGAACUCUAAUUUCCACUUUACUCUGGAGCUUCGGCUUUUUACUGUGUGAAACAAAUUACACAAAUAUAUUAAACUUACAAAAGAACUGUAAAAAGCAAAGAGUUGUUGGAGUAAAAAGGGGAGGACACAAAAUAUUCGUGAAGGUUGUCUUACCUAAUUCAGACGAUGGCAUUCUUACGUAGAUAUCUUCCCCUUCUACUGUGUAGUCUCUAAUAUCAAUUAGGUCAGAAAACCAUAAGAUACAUCCAUGUCCACCUCUUCUGACAUCUGCAAUUGCAUAAGCUGUACAAGAACAGUUUUUCCGGCAUGAUAUCUCACAUUCUUGAAGGUUCAUUUUCAUGUUAUACCAUGAGUGACGUGUGUCUGGUAACUUCACACCAGAAUAUUUCAUAAAGCCUUCGUCGUUCCCACAAACUAGAUCAGUUUUGCGGAUGCAUCCACCAGACCAAUCAGCUGCUUUCCACUCCUCUUGAAAUUUCGGAAUAAAUCCUCUCAAGCAUUCACAUCUUGGUGUAUUGUUGAUCUUGCAUAUUCCAUAUACACCGCAUAGUCCAUAAUGAUCACAGUCACUGUCCUGCAUAGUAAGGUAAACCAUCCAGAUUUGUUGCUGAUCAUUCCACACAAGAAGUUUUGAAUCUCCGCUUGGAGUCAGUAUGAACCUCAUUAUAGCAGAAGUUGUAUUGAUGAGAUGAAACCUAUAAUAGAUUUCCUUUUCAUUGAAAACAAACACAUCUUUAAAAAUUCCAUUCUGGUUCUUGUUGGGAAGACCACCAAAUUUAUAACCAUUCCAUAGUCCCGUCCUCGUCCAAAUUAACGAAUCUUUUGACACAAAAUAUUGUGGAAAACCAUUAGGAUCAAGUCCAUGUGAAAAACUGCCAACUGAUGGAUCAACGUCACUUCUCCAUGAUGAAAAGAUCCUGUUCAGACCAGUUACCAGGUCUAUCCCAUGUUUCAUGCCAGGUAGCAAAUUGUCUCCGGGGUGAUCAAAGCUCUGCCAUUUAAAAUCUUCUACGCUGUUGAAAUCAGGAUGCCCUUCCCUUAAAACUAAAUUCCCUGUAUCUAAUAGCUGUGCAACAGGAUUCUUCAUUGAUACAGACGUAUUCGAUGACCAUAUUACCCCAGUACUAUUAUCAACCAAUUGCAAUGUAAUUCCCUUGCGAUUGACCUGCACUAAGCCUGAGGUGUUCAUGAGAGGAACAUCUCUAUUAGCAACCCAAACAACAGUCCCUCUGGAUAUUUUCCUGUACCAGAUGCCCAGAUAUCGAUUCGUCGAACUACCUGGGCUGAAAAAUCCAAGUUCAAACUCUCCACCUGCUGAUGUGAUAGUAUCACCAUCUCGAAAACUCUGAUGCAUUCUGAUGGUAUCAACUGCCACGGACCUUGUUAUGGUACAGAUUAAAAUGUAGCAAGCCAAAAUAAUAGUAUUCAACUCCAUUAUCUUGCAAAAUGAAUGUAGUUUGCAUAAUUUAACCACAAUCCAGGUGAACCAAAUACUAUAUAGUACCAACAAUUUUAGUCCUAUCAUUAUAGCCACUUGGAUACCUUAAAUACCUAUCCUAAAAAAUAAAAAAAUACAGGGGCCGGUUGGGUGAGCUUAAGUGCUUUCUGCUUAAAGUAAAAAAAUUGAAGUAUAAGUUAGAAACAAGUUAAGACUUAUAAGUGAUUAAAAUGUUUAGAAAAGAAGUAAAAGCCAUGAAACAAAAGCUAGUGGGCCGUUUAAGUUAGCUUAAAAGAAGUGACUUCUUACUUAAACUAAAGAAGUGAAGUAGAAGUUAGAAGUAAAUAAGUUAAUAAAGUGUUUAGAAAAGAAGUAGAAGUUGUGAGAGAAAAGCUAGCAUUCUCAGCUUCUUAAAAGUGAUUCUUAUAAAAGCCUCAGUAUUCUCGACUUCUUAUAAGUACUUCUAACUUAUAAACCUAGAAGCCGGGUUUUGCCCGUCCAAACACCCAAGCUUGACUUUGAUUAUAAAAGUCGGUUAGCACCUUAAAUCUGAAAAGUUUAGUCUUUGAUUCGUUGUGAUUGUAUUAUUGGUUUCAGACUUUAACAUAAACCUAUUCGUCGUAGUCAGAAGUCAGAGGCUAGGAGGUGCAUCUGUCGGGUCUGAUAUAUAAAUAUUACUAUAUUUGAAUAUGAAAUUAGUGGUUAAAAGCUUGAUUGUGAGUUAAGAAUCUAAGCACCUGAUCACUGGCGGCGUCUCUCAGCUGCCACUGACAUGAAGCCAAAUGCUCAAUUCUUAAUUCCCAGGUCGCAGGUUGCUGUGCAAACUAUAAAUAGUUAAAUACUCUUGGCAUGUAUUGAUAUUUCUGGAUGAUGAAAUAUGGCCGCAUAUUCUACCAGUUCAUGACCCUGCAGGCUGCAGGGCACGGCUGACUUAGAGCAUCUCCAUCCAUCUAAAGCCCUUGGCUAAAAGGUGAGUUGGCUUACUUAAAAUAAAAAAAUUUAGCCAACAGCUCCAAAAACUCAACUCCAACCAUACUCACCUGUUGUCUAUAAAUUUAGCCAUGGAUGGCUAAAUUUGUCGAACCUCUACAGGUCUGUAAGAAAAUCUGUAGAAAGAUUGUACAUCAUUUAUUACCAUAUUGAACUGAUAUAUUCUAUUUUAACAAUUUAAAAUAUUAAUAACAUACUAUUUUUAAAUUAUAGCCAACCAAUAUAGCCAGUACCAUUGAAGCAAAAUGUCUUACAGGUUCAGCAAAUUUUACAUAAUGUCUUACAGCUUCAAUUUAGCCAACGAUUAUAGCCAACGCCGUUGGAGAUGCUCUUAUAUAACAUUUGUAAUUUUAUCAUCUAUAUUUUAAAUUUAAAUAUUUUGGUUAAUUAAUGAUAAAAAAAUUUCAUUAUAACACUUAUAUCAAAAGACCCGUAGAAUAAUAUUGAUCGGUUCAUAAAAUUCGACCGAUCAAUAAAAUUAUUAAUAUUUAAUUUUAAUAAAAUAAUAAUAAUAUUAUAUAGUAUAAUAUAAAUAGAUAGUAUAAAUAUAUGAUAUUACUUUUAAAGUGAUAACAUAGAAUAAUUAAGAAUAACAUUAAUAUAUUUAAUUUUAACAUAUCAUAUGUUAUAUAUUAAUAAUUAUAUAUAAUAAUAAUAUCAUCGGUUUUUUAGUUAGGAAUUACAAAAUAUAAAUCAUUUUAGUUAAAAAAGAUUUUUUUUCUGUCGGUAAUUAAAAAGGAUAAUUGAUUAUAUAAGUAGUCCAUAAUUCGGCCCAAGUACCGACAGACCCAUCAACUUUUAAUGUUCGGCUUUAAUCGUAUAGCUAUUAACCUCGGUUUAGGAAAAAAGAAAAUCAUAGAUUUCUGAACUAUUAACAUUUUAUUGUCUAGACCCUGAACUAAAAAUUCGAUUCUUUGUGUUACUUACCUUUUUGUUUUCUAAUCUAAGUUCUUCCGUUAAAAAGAUUCUAACGACAUUAUAAUCAUAAAGCUAUGGUUCUUGAUGUUCAUACAGAUCAAAGCAAUUUUAAAGGUAUUUGUGAUAUCCAAACUUAAAGUUCAGGUAAUCAAAUUAAAAUCUGAAUCGCCACAGUUAUAUGACACCAAUUUUCACAAACAAAGUUUAAUUUAGUAAAUCAUAAAUUUAGGUUCUUAAAUUCGAUCAAGAAUCCUAAAUUUAUAGUUCAUUUUAGGAUUUUUUUUUUGAAUUAAACCUUCAAAUUUUGUGACGUGAGCUGCUAUAGUAAUUUUGUCCCUUGUUGGCUUUAAAAUUGGGUGGGAAACCAUAAAUCUUGUAGCAUCUAUUAAUACUGUAAUCAAGAAAUUUACAAUGUGUGCAAUAAAAGUGUGAGCUUGCUUUUUAGUUCUUUUGUUGACAGCAUUUGAGAAAGCUUUGGGCUUGAAAUUGUUGGACAUGUUCUGAUAUGUAUUGGUUUUCCUCUAGUUCUUCUGUUGUCGUUAUAUUUCUUCUUACCUGUCAAGAAAGCUAUAGAUUCACUUUCAUAUUGUCAAAAAUUCCUCGUGUCUUUCUUCAUGAACAAAAAGCCGAUGAGCUUAAGAAACACUUGAUAAAAGACUCAUCAUAAAAAUGUUCCUCCUUACUGGAGCAAACUAAUCAUUAAGCUUCAGCAUGAAAAUGUUCUUUUACUGAAAAUGUUGUCUCUGUUGAAUUUUGAUAGACAACUUACAAGCUAUGUUACCUGACUCUUCAUUUUUCUUCGAAUAUCCGUGUCAGACACUCGACACUCCAUUUUUCUUCGAAUAUCUGUGUUGGACCCUCGACGCUCGGGCAAUGGUAUGGACACCGCGACAAUUAUUUUAGGCCAGAAACAUGUAAAAUUUUCAAAAUAUUGCCGAGUCCAUCACUCGCAUAUAUCCAUGUACAACUUAAGCCGUGUCCGGAUAAUAUAGGUUACAAGUGCACUUGUUGCACGUACCGUAUGGUAAUGGAUUUGUGCCAGCAAGACUAUCCCAGAUAGUCAGAAACAGUUAGAUUUCCUUGAAUUAACUCUGAAAGUCGUUUCUGUAAAUCAACUCAUCUUAUUAAAUGAGAGAGAUUGCAACUUGAGUGAAUGAGUACAUGAAUGAAUGAAUACGAGAGAGAGAGAGUUGAGCCUAUUAUAUACAGAGUAGCUAGUAACAGAAAGAUGGCGGUAAAGUUAGUUAGUCUAACUAACUGUACAGCUGUCAUUGCAGACCAGUAAAAUUGCAUUAUAAAAAUAGAUCAAUGUAGGUAAAAUGAUUGAUUAUUCUCGAGGUAGGAGAGUGGUGAUCGUUAAUUGGUUGGAUGAUGACGGAUUUAGGUGGCUUAAAUAUCUUUCCGUGAAAAAACCAGGUUGCUUAGGACGAGGCAGUUUCAUAUCACUGCUUAUCAUUAGAACCACCUGUGACAUGACUGGCCUGUCCUUCGGAUCUUGUUGAACGCAGAGUAAUCCAAUCUGUACAACUCGAAAGACUUCAAAAUGGUUGCUGUGCUCCAAGAUCGUCCUGUCAAUGACUUCCAACAAUUUGUCGUGUUUGUAACUCAUCCAUGCCUAAAAUAUUUUAUGUGAAAUAUCAGUAAAAGACGAGCAUAGAUCACAGGGAAGGUCAUAAUAUAUUCGUACUCACAUGCCCUAGAAGGUUGAAGCUGUGAUCAGGAUGACUGAAUGAUCUGUUUUGCACUCCACUUAUUAUCUCUAUUAGUAAAACUCCAAAACUAUAUACAUCAGAUUUAACAGAAAAUUUUCCAUCAAUAGCGUACUCUGGGGACAUGUAACCACUGCGAGAUAAAAAGAAGUUCUAAUUAAUUAUCAAUUGUGAUCCAAAGAAAACAGUAAAUUGCAGAGUCCUCGUAUACUUACUAUGUCCCAAUGACUCUCGAUGUAUUUGCUUCACUUUCAUUUCCUACAAAAGUUCUUGCAAUGCCAAAGUCUGAAAUCUUUGGAUUCAUAUCAUGAUCAAGUAAAAUGUUACUGGCUUUGAGAUCUCUAUGUAUGAUCCUUAGCUUUGAAUCCUGGUGAAGAUACAGAAGUCCCCGAGCAAUGCCAUUUAUUAUGUUGUAUAGCUUCGGCCAGUCCAAAGUGGUUCUCACGUUAUUAUCUGUUCAUUUUUCAUCAAAUUAGACAGCUUGUCUGUAUAAGAAGACACAAUUGAUAAAUUUCAGAAAAAAAAACUUGACAUAUUCACAGGUUGGAUCAUACCAAAAAUGAAUGAAUCUAGACUUUUGUUUGCCAUAUAUUCGUAGAUCAAUAUCCUUUCAUCUUUCUCUGUGCAGCAACCAAGAAGCGUCACCAGAUUUCUGUGCUGAAGUUUGGCAAUACACGAAACCUCAUUUUUGAACUCAUCUAGUCCUUGACUUGAAUUUCUUGAAAGCCUUUUCACGGCUAUUUCUAGUCCAUCAGUCAGCAUGCCCUGAAAAUAAUAGUUGUGAGGCCAUAUAUCUAGCUAUAUUAUAAUGUUAUCAUUUUCUUAUACUUCCAGAGGGACUCACUGGUAAAUCUGAAUUCCCCCAAGAAAGUUUCUGCUCAGGGGAAUUCGACGAACACCUGAGCUCAAGGUAUUCAAGCCUCUUCUACAACCUGUAAUAUGCAACUUACACUUCCUAGGCCAACUCGUUAGAGUUUGGAUCAAAAUCCUUGGAUUAACUCAAUAUAGUUUGAACAAACUUACUCAUACAGUCAUAUGCUUCUCGGAUUUAGUAAUCUUUGUGAUUCUAUUUUAAACAGUUUAAAUAGCUUGUCUGUUACACAUGGUACUGGCACUACACUUAGAUGUAUAUAUGACAUUAAUUAAUUGCAUAAGUUGUUUGCAUAUAUUAAUGGACAUGUAAUACCUUGUAUACAGGUCCAAAGCCACCCUCUCCAAGUUUGUUGUCCUGGGAGAAGUUACUUGUGGCAUUUGUAAUGCUUUGGAAGUCAAAUGAUGGCAACUCCGGAUCUUCAUUCUCUAUUUUGGUCAGCGCAACAGUUUCCAAAUUCAGUUUCAAGCUUUCUGCAAUGAUUGAAGUGUAACAAAUGCACAGUGAUGAGUGCUGAAAUAGUAUCUACCAAUUUUCUGACUAUUAGUUUUCCUGUUUAAAAUUGGCUAUCAUUUAUUUUCAAAAUUCUAGGAUCUCUUUAUUAUGGUACUAUUAUAUUCACUUGGUCGAAAUUCAAAAUCUUUCUUACUAAUUUUUUGUAGUGAAUAAUUUUACCCUUUUUCUGCAGCUUUUUCUUCUUGUAUACUAGAAAGAAUAUUAGGCCAAGUAGCACUACUGCUAGUACUGCAGCAAUGAAGAUGAACUCUGGCAUCCACUUUACUCUGCGACUUAUAACUGCAUUAGUCAAAAAGAUGAAACUUAUAAAGAAUACACCAUCAAAAGCAAAUAGUUAUGGUACUAAUUUUAUAGAGCAAAGAGUUGUGGUGCAAGAAGUGAAGACACGAAAUAUUCACGAAGCUAGAGUUACCUAAUUCAGAUGAUGGCAUUCUGACAUAUAUAUCCUGUCCAUCUUCAGUAAAAUCUCUAAUAUCAAUUAGGUCAUUAAACCAUAAGAUACAUCCAUGUCCACCUCUUCUGAACUCUGCAAUUGCAUAAGCUGUACAAGAACAGUUUUUCCAGCACACCAUCUCACAUUCCUGAAGGUUCAUUUUCGAGUCAUACCAAGAGUGGCGAGUGUCUGGUAACUUCAAUCCUGAAUAUUUCACAAAACCCUCAUCACUCCCACAAACUAGAUCAGUUUUGCGGAUGCAUCCACUAGACCAAUCGGCUGCCUUCCACUUCUCUGGGAAUUUUGGAACAAAUCCUCUCAAGCAUUCACAUCUUGGUGUACUGUUGAUCUUACAUACUCCAUAUACACCACAUAGUCCAUAACGAUCACAGUCACUGUCCUGCAUACUAAGGUAAACCAUCCAGAUUUUUUGUGGAUCAUUCCACACAAGAAGUUUUGCAUCUCCAGUUGGGGUCAGUACGAACCUCAUAAUAGCAGAAGUUGUAUUUGUAUUGAUGAGAUGAAACUUAUAAUAGAUUUCUUUUUCAUUGAAAACAAACACAUCUUUAAAAAUUCCAUUCGGGUUCCUGUUGGGAAGACCACUAAAUUUGUGACCAUUCCAUGGUCCAAUCCUUGUCCAAAUCAUUGAAUCCUUUAACACAAAAAAUUGUGGAAAGCCAUUUGGAUCAAGUCCACUAGUGAAAUUGCCUAGGGAUGGAUCAACUACACUUGUCCAUGAUGAAAAAAUCCAGUUCAGACCAGUUACCAGGUCUAUUCCAUGCUUCAUGCCAGGUAGAAAAUUGUCUCCAGGGUGAUCAAAGCUCUGCCAUAUAAAAUCUUUUACGCCAUUGAAACUGAGAUGCCCUUCCCUUAAAACUAAAUUCCCUGUAUCUAAUAGCUGUGCAACAGGAUUCCUCAUUGAUACAGACGUAUUCGAUGACCAUAUUAUCCCAGUACUAUUAUCAACCAACUGCAAUGAAAUUCCCUUGUGAUUGACCUGCACUAAUCCUGAGGUAUUCAUAAGAGGAUUAUCUCUAUUAGCAACCCAAACAACAGUCCCUCUGGAUAUUUUCCUGUACCAGAUGCCCAGAUAUCGAUUCGUUGAACUUCCUGGACUGAAAAAUCCAAGUUCAAACUCUCCACCUGCUGAUGUGAUAGUAUCACCAUCUCGAAACGUCUGAUGCAUUCUAAUGAUGUCUACAGCCAUGGAGUUCACUAAGGUAGAGGAUAAAAUGAAGCAAACCAAAAUGGUGGAAGUCAACUCCAUUAUCUUGCACUCUUCUAACUUGCAAAAUGCCAAAAUCUAUUUCUAGUAAUGCAUAACCUGACCCCAACCAAGGAAAAACAAAUUUGUUAGUUAAAAAAUAACAUUUUUGCCUCUGUCAAACUUAUAGCAACUUGGAUUAAAAUAAAAACUAUACUAUUAUCAGUAAUUGAAAGUUGAGUCUCUGAUUAUAAUAAUCAGUUAGCACUUGGAUCUGAUUUGUAGAUUUUAAUAAAAACGAAUUGUGCCGUACUCAGAUGUCAGUUCUUGACCUGUUCACUCUGAUAUAGGAAUAUGAUAUUAGUGAUUAAAUCUUGACUUUGAUCA